This 182-nucleotide ribosomal RNA is filed under the name uncultured bacterium. Its description in RNAcentral is "partial 16S ribosomal RNA". It matches the Rfam family "Bacterial small subunit ribosomal RNA", at positions 1320 to 1500 of the family's 1533-position model. The record is from RNAcentral.
AUGAAGCCGGAAUCGCUAGUAAUCGCGGAUCAGAAUGCCGCGGUGAAUACGUUCCCGGGUCUUGUACACACCGCCCGUCACACCAUGGGAGUCGAUAACGCCCGAAGUCAGUGACCCAACCUUGUAGGAGGGAGCUGCCGAAGGCGGGAUGGAUAACUGGGGUGAAGUCGUAACAAGGUAUC